GAUGAAGAACGCAGCGAAAUGCGAUACGUAAUGUGAAUUGCAGAAUUCAGUGAAUCAUCGAAUCUUUGAACGCACAUUGCGCCCGCCAGUAUUCUGGCGGGCAUGCCUGUUCGAGCGUCAUUUCAACCAUCAAGCCCCCGGCUUGUGUUGGGGACCUGCGGCUGCCGCAGGCCCUGAAAACCAGUGGCGGGCUCGCUAGUCACUCCGAGCGUAGUAAUACAUCUCGCUCAGGGCGUGCUGCGGGUUCCGGCCGUUAAAAGCCUUAUUUACCCAAGGUUGACCUCGGAUCAGGUAGGAAGACCCGCUGAACUUAAGCAUAUCAAUAAGCGGAGGA
RNAcentral lists this unclassified non-coding RNA (334 nucleotides) under soil metagenome. RNAcentral describes it as "partial contains 5.8S ribosomal RNA, internal transcribed spacer 2, and large subunit ribosomal RNA". The stretch from base 1 to 120 matches the Rfam family "5.8S ribosomal RNA", at positions 35 to 154 of the family's 154-position model. The record is from RNAcentral.